GUCCACGCCGUAAACGAUGGAUACUAGCUGUUGGAGGUAUCGACCCCUUCAGUAGCGAAGCUAACGCGUUAAGUAUCCCGCCUGUGGAGUACGGUCGCAAGACUAAAACAUAAAGGAAUUGACGGGGACCCGCACAAGCGGUGGAUAGUGUUCUUUAAUUCGAUGCUAAACGAAGAACCUUACCAGGGUUUGACAUCCUUGGAAUCUCUGCGAAAGUAGAGAGUGCUUUAUUGAACCAAGUGACAGGUGAUGCAUGGCCGUCGU
Molecule: ribosomal RNA, 264 nt
Filed under: uncultured bacterium
Lineage: Bacteria
Description: partial 16S ribosomal RNA
Rfam family: Bacterial small subunit ribosomal RNA
Source: RNAcentral